Molecule: ribosomal RNA, 884 nt
Filed under: marine metagenome
Description: bacterial SSU rRNA
Rfam family: Bacterial small subunit ribosomal RNA
Source: RNAcentral
AGAGUUUGAUCCUGGCUCAGGAUGAACGCUGGCGGCGUGCCUAAUACAUGCAAGUCGAACGAGGAGCCUCACAUCUUCGGAUGAGGGGAUUUCCUAGUGGCGGACGGGUGCGUAACACGUGGGUGACCUGCCCCGAAGUGGGGAAUAACUCCGCGAAAGCGGAGCUAAUACCGCAUGUUGUCGCGCGAGUUAGAGGUCGCGCGUCUAAAGAUUUCGGUCGCUUCGGGAGGGGCCCGCGGCCCAUCAGCUAGUUGGUGGGGUAAUGGCUCACCAAGGCUAUGACGGGUAGGGGACCUGAGAGGGUGAUCCCCCACACUGGAACUGAGACACGGUCCAGACACCUACGGGUGGCAGCAGUAGGGAAUAUUGCACAAUGGGCGCAAGCCUGAUGCAGCAACGCCGCGUGCGCGAUGAAGGCCUUCGGGUUGUAAAGCGCUUUUCGGAGGGAUGAAUCAAGACAGUACCUCCAGAACAAGGAUCGGCUAACUACGUGCCAGCAGCCGCGGUAAAACGUAGGAUCCAAGCGUUAUCCGGAAUUACUGGGCGUAAAGGGCGUGUAGGCGGCUUGGCAAGUCGGUCAUGAAAGCUCCCGGCUCAACUGGGAGAGGUUGUCCGAUACUGCCAGGCUAGAGGGCAAGAGAGGGAGGUGGAAUUCCCGGUGUAGUGGUGAAAUGCGUAGAUAUCGGGAGGAACACCAGUGGCGAAGGCGGCCUCCUGGCUUGCGCCUGACGCUGAGACGCGAAAGCGUGGGGAGCGAACGGGAUUAGAAACCCCGGUAGUCCACGCUGUAAACGAUGUCAACUAGGUGUCGGUGGCGUAGAACCCGUCGGUAUCGAAGCUAACGCGUUAAGUUGACCGCCUGGGGACUACGAUCGCAAGAUUAA